AUCCAGUUCACGAGUCCCAAAUAGAACGAAAUGCGCAUCUUGGAU
This is a non-coding RNA of Trichobilharzia regenti, 45 nucleotides long. NCBI's taxonomy places the organism in Eukaryota, Metazoa, Platyhelminthes, Trematoda, Strigeidida, Schistosomatidae. The record is from Rfam.